UACGGGGGGGGCAAGCGUUGUUCGGAAUUACUGGGCGUAAAGGGCUCGUAGGCGGCCAACUAAGUCGGACGUGAAAGCCCUCGGCUUAACCGAGGAACUGCGUCCGAUACUGGAUGGCUUGAGGUUGGGAGAGGGAUGCGGAAUUCCAGGUGUAGCGGUGAAAUGCGUAGAUAUCAGGAGGAACACCGGUGGCGAAGGCGGGUCUCUGGGCCGUAACUGACGCUGAGGAGCGAAAGCAUGGGGAGCGAACAGG
Molecule: ribosomal RNA, 253 nt
Filed under: uncultured bacterium
Lineage: Bacteria
Description: partial 16S ribosomal RNA
Rfam family: Bacterial small subunit ribosomal RNA
Source: RNAcentral